This is a non-coding RNA of Camelina sativa (false flax), 1316 nucleotides long. NCBI's taxonomy places the organism in Eukaryota, Viridiplantae, Streptophyta, Magnoliopsida, Brassicales, Brassicaceae. The record is from RefSeq and is a predicted model, not a curated record.
UGUCACUAUUUUAUUAGUUACGUUUUUUUUUUUCUCUUUUCUUCUUUUGCUUCUCACUCUCUUUCGAUACAAUCAAAACGAUGAAAAACUGACGAAAUCAAAUCGAUCGUAGUUCUGAUCGGUUUCCAGAAACAACUGAUCUCGCCUCGUCUUCUUCUUCUUCCUGAGACGUUAUCGAGAUCGGAUGAUGAAUACACUGGAGAAAGAGAUCUCGCCUCGUCGUCUUCUUCUUCGAUCAAGUCUUCGACCUAUGGAGAAGGCUGUGGAAUACAAGAGAGCCCUCACAGCUGCCAAAUUAGAAAAGGCAGAGAAUUCAUAUGGAGACAUCACUGAUAAGGUCGUUCCGGAUUUUGGAUGUGGUUGUGGUACUUUAAGUGUUGCUGCUGCUCUUCUAGAUUCAGCGUCUGUGAUUGGAUUUGAUAUCGAUCCUCAGUCUCUUGAAACAGCAACACUAAAUGCAGAGGAGCUUGAGUUUUGCAGGUGGAGAUAGAUUUCAUUCAGUGUGACAUUACAAAGUUAGAGUUAAAAGAUCGUCGAUGCACCUGAAUUGCUGUGUUGGAUCUUCGUUUAUCAUCUGUAUCAUCUGUAUUUAGAUCAUCGUCGAGUCGAGGCACUGGGAUUGCUAUGUUGAAUCUUAUCUUCUCGUCUUUCAUCUAUUUAGUAUGUGGAAACACAGUUAUGCUGAAUUAUUGUACCUGGACUUGGUGGAGAUGUGAUCAGGUUUAGGGGACACACCAAGUUUUUGCAAAUCAUAGCUGCACAAACUUUUUAGCAGGCAGAGAGGGAGAUGGGUGUAUCUAAGGAGCAAGUCGAAGCUUCAUUGACUUCAAAACUCAAUCAUGUUCAUCUUGUAAGGCAAAUUUGAUCCCCUUACCUACAAUCUUUUUUCUGUGUCUUGGCUACUGAAUCUGACCAAAGUAAGAAAAACUUCAGAGUUUUGAUUUAUCAGGCAUCCUCUGUUCUUCCAUAUAUUGGGGGAAACUGGGAGUUGCAGAUCAAUGACAAUUUAAAAUCUUUUGAUGAAAUAUAGAACUUUACCAAAUUGGAUUCAUACUCAUGUAGCUCUAAGAGAAAUAUUGUGUUUCUUUUGUUCUAAGAUUGAAUCAUACACUCACUUACGUGGUUCGUGUGUACGUGAUUAUUGAAGCAACAAGUUUACUUUGUGAUCUUACUCUCUAUACGUCACUAAUUUGGCUUCAUUUAUAUGUAAAACUAGGAAGUCAUCGAUACAUCUGGAGGCUGCGGGGCGAGUUUUGUUGUUGAGGUUGUCUCGGAACAGUUUGAAGAGAAGAGAUUGCUUGAAAGGCACCGCAAUA